RNAcentral lists this long non-coding RNA (588 nucleotides) under Lepisosteus oculatus (spotted gar). RNAcentral describes it as "lncRNA (ENSLOCG00000023108.1)". Lineage: Eukaryota; Metazoa; Chordata; Actinopteri; Semionotiformes; Lepisosteidae. The record is from RNAcentral.
CUGAAUUGUGCAGUCGGUGCUGUGUAAGCUCCAUACCUAUCCGUGAAGCGCUGCUCCGAGCUCGGUGAGGUCACUAGUGGGUGCUGCAGACACUCGGAGAGCAAAGAAGGCAAAGACGCAGAAAGCUAGCACCGGACUGUUGACGGGGAAAGUGAAACGUUAAGAGUCCCGUACCGUAGGUUCUAUCAGUAUCACUAUUGAUUUAUUUUUUGGGAAACAACAACAACAACAACAACUGCGUAUUUAGGAUCGAAGAGUGCAGCCCAUAGUCUGAGUCGGCCUACCGGAGAAGGAAAAGAGGCUGGCAGAGAUGAAGGGAAGACACACUGCUCUCAUCUGUAUGGGAGUCCGGUCUGACUGCAGCUUUUAAGAGGGAGAUCUGCAGCUGCCUGGUACAGGUAGGAGCUGGGGCUGUCUCAUACUGUACAGCGUGUAUUGGGCUGUGGGAUUUUUGGGGGGCAGAAAGUGCGGGCAUCAGAUCAGAAGGUAAACAGGAAUGUGUGAAGGUCUACUUCAAAGAGAUGCCAACAACAGCAACCUUCACAUGCAGUGAAGAGCGCAGAAUUUGCAGGCAUCUCACCUUUUUAU